GGACGAACGCUGGCGGCGUGCCUAACACAUGCAAGUCGAACGAAGCAUUUAAGUGAAUCCCUUCGGGGUGAAGCUUUUAUGACUUAGUGGCGGACGGGUGAGUAACGCGUGAGUAACCUGCCUUUCAGAGGGGGAUAACGUUUGGAAACGAACGCUAAUACCGCAUAACAUAUUCGGACGGCAUCGUCUGAAUAUCAAAGGAGCAAUCCGCUGAAAGAUGGCCUCGCACCUGAUUAGAUAGUUGGUGAGGUAACGGCUCACCAAGUCGACGAUCAGUAGCCGGACUGAGAGGUUGAACGGCCACAUUGGGACUGAGACACGGCCCAGACUCCUACGGGAGGCAGCAGGUGGGGGAUAUUGCGCAAUGGGGGAAACCCUGACGCAGCGAUGCCGCGUGGAGGAAGAAGGUUUUCGGAUUGUAAACUCCUGUCUUCAGGGACGAUAAUGACGGUACCUGAGGAGGAAGCUCCGGCUAACUACGUG
RNAcentral lists this ribosomal RNA (483 nucleotides) under uncultured bacterium. Its description in RNAcentral is "bacterial SSU rRNA". It matches the Rfam family "Bacterial small subunit ribosomal RNA", at positions 27 to 507 of the family's 1533-position model. The record is from RNAcentral.